GUGAAUCAUCGAAUCUUUGAACGCACCUUGCGCUCCUUGGUAUUCCGAGGAGCAUGCCUGUUUGAGUGUCAUGAAGUCAUCAACCCUACCCGUUUUUGUGCGGGUGUUGGGUUGGAUCUGGAGGAAUGCUGCUGUCAAGGCUGCUCCCCCAAAAUGCAUCGGUUGGACCUGUGGUCAAACUCGACUGGGCGUUGUACCAUCCUCGCUCUAUCUUGAGAUGUCCUCCUGUCCUCCCAAGACUGGCCCUUCUGGAGUGGGCUGUCAAACUUAGCUUUGAAAUCUGACCUCAAAUCAGGUAGGACUACCCGCUGAACUUAAGCAUAUCAAUAAGCGGAGGA
RNAcentral lists this unclassified non-coding RNA (338 nucleotides) under fungal sp. RNAcentral describes it as "partial contains 5.8S ribosomal RNA, internal transcribed spacer 2, and large subunit ribosomal RNA". The stretch from base 1 to 71 matches the Rfam family "5.8S ribosomal RNA", at positions 84 to 154 of the family's 154-position model. Lineage: Eukaryota; Fungi. The record is from RNAcentral.